This 520-nucleotide ribosomal RNA is filed under the name uncultured Glomeromycotina. RNAcentral describes it as "SSU rRNA". It matches the Rfam family "Eukaryotic small subunit ribosomal RNA", at positions 569 to 1092 of the family's 1831-position model. Lineage: Eukaryota; Fungi; Glomeromycota. The record is from RNAcentral.
AGCAGCCGCGGUAGUUCCAGCUCCAAUAGCGUAUAUUAAAGUUGCUGCAGUUAAAAAGCUCGUAGUUGAAUUUCGGGACCAAUAUGUUGGUCGUGCCUCGGUACGUACUGGCAUUGUUGGUUUCUACCUUCUGACGAACCAGGAUGUCAUUUAUUUGGUGUCUUGGGAAAUCAGGACUGUUACUUUGAAAAAAUUAGAGUGUUUAAAGCAGGCUCACGCUUGAAUACAUUAGCAUGGAAUAAUGAAAUAGGACGUUUGAUUCUAUUUUGUUGGUUUCUAGGAUCGACGUAAUGAUUAAUAGGGAUAGUUGGGGGCAUUAGUAUUCAAUUGUCAGAGGUGAAAUUCUUGGAUUUAUUGAAGACUAACUACUGCGAAAGCAUUUGCCAAGGAUGUUUUCAUUAAUCAAGAACGAAAGUUAGGGGAUCGAAGACGAUCAGAUACCGUCGUAGUCUUAACCAUAAACUAUGCCGACUAGGGAUCGGAUGAUGUUAAUUUUUAAUGACUCAUUCGGCGCCUUAAC